AUAUUUUAAUUUUUACAAUAUGUUUAAUGCUGCUAAAAGAGCGUGUAGAAAAGUUACUGGUAGGGGUGGAAGUAAAAAAAGAGGUAGUCCUAUAGCUUCUGGUAGUAAUAGUAAUGACCCAAUAACACAUGUUUCUGAAUCAUCGCCUAAUUUGCAAGAUGUAGAGAUUCAUUAUGAACAAUUACAAGAAGAUUAUGGAAUAGAAGAUAAUGAAAUUGGAAUAGAAGAUGAGAUACCACCUACACCUAGUUGUGGAAAUAUUGGUAGUAUUGGAGUU
RNAcentral lists this long non-coding RNA (277 nucleotides) under Nicotiana benthamiana. RNAcentral's name for it is "long non-coding RNA (NBEN_LNC035840)". Lineage: Eukaryota; Viridiplantae; Streptophyta; Magnoliopsida; Solanales; Solanaceae. The record is from RNAcentral.